CCAGUCUUCUCUUGCUGGAUUGCGUUUUAUAAUGUCCAUUUGACAGGGAUGGGGAGGAAAGGAAUAUAAUCUUACAAAAGGUAAGGCAGGAUCAGCACAGCGAGUUCCUGAAGGCAACCUCUCAGCUGAAUUAGUAAGUGCGCUAGCAAGGCCAUUCUGUCCAGCGGGUGUGAUUAGAGGAUAAUAUGAUCUUAGUAACCGUGCAGCAGCACUCCAUGCAGCAAGAGGGUCUCCCGCACGAACAGCAGACAGUAGUAUCUCCCUCAGUACAACCAUCUGCAGUGUGCUCCAUUGAGAUUCAAAUAGAGAAACUACUGACUGGUGAUGCAUUUUCCCACUAUCAACAUGA
RNAcentral lists this unclassified non-coding RNA (349 nucleotides) under Hevea brasiliensis (rubber tree). The record is from RNAcentral. Lineage: Eukaryota; Viridiplantae; Streptophyta; Magnoliopsida; Malpighiales; Euphorbiaceae.